Molecule: ribosomal RNA, 163 nt
Filed under: uncultured bacterium
Lineage: Bacteria
Description: partial 16S rRNA
Rfam family: Bacterial small subunit ribosomal RNA
Source: RNAcentral
UAGGGAAUCUUCCACAAUGGGCGCAAGCCUGAUGGAGCAACACCGCGUGAGUGAAGAAGGGUUUCGGCUCGUAAAGCUCUGUUGUUAAAGAAGAACACGUAUGAGAGUAACUGUUCAUACGUUGACGGUAUUUAACCAGAAAGUCACGGCUAACUAUGUGCCA